CUCAUCCUGCGGAGAAGCAGGCAAACUGAGGCUUAGGCCAGCAAGACCUACUGCUCAGGCAGGGAAACUGAGGCCUAGAUCAGCAGAGACCCGUUGCCCAUAUGGGCAAACUAAGGCCCUGUAAACUCAGGCCUGUUGCCCACAUAAGGAAACUGAGACCUAGGUGAACACAGACCCACUGCUUAGGCCCAGACUGUUUCACACAGAUGGGGAAACCAAGGCCUACCACAAGGAUAGACCUACCACAGAUGGGGAGGAGGGUCAGGAAAUGAAGCCCUGGAGAGCCCACCAGGACUCCCAGGGCAUGGCAGAGCAAUCUGAAGACCUUGAGGAAACCCAUGUCCCCGAUGAGAAGACUGAGGUUCUAAGAACAGGGACUGUCCAGAGAGGUUGCCCACAACCAGCAUUCUAGAGCAGAACUGCUCACUAUGGAUGUGUUGGUGACACCUUAGCCUGGGCUCAGGGAAAAGCGACAGUGCAGCUGACUUAUAAUAAAGUUUUAUCGACAGAGGGGACAGUGCAUCAGCCCCAUGUGGCAGCUGCCUCCUGAGGUCUCAACUGCCAGCUACAGGCUCCCCAAUCACAGAUGGCAGGGUCAAGCAAAUAGUGGCACUCAAAACAUGCACGAGCCUCAGGCCUGAGUGGAGGCAGCAGGGUGGGCAGCCCUUGGACUCCCCCUAGGCCCUGGGAGUAACAUGAGGUGACCUCCCCUACAGGGAGGGGGUCAUCUUGAGAACACCAGGGUUGAUUUCCAGUUGCAAAGUGCCAGGAAUUUAAGGGAAAACAUAGUUUCUGCCUCUGCUGGGGCUCAGGGGUUUGGGACAGGAGUCAUACAUUCCCCAUGGAUUGGCUGCUCAGGGACCAGCAGGGAGCACCCCCAGAGCUCCACUACCCAUGGCUUGAUGGGGAAACUGAGGCCAAGGCUUUGCAGAGAUACCCAAGGUCCCCACAGGGCCCUGAGGAGCUACAUCACUGGUUGCUAGCCUGUUCCUUCCCUGAGUUGGGGUCUUCCCCGGAUCCACCAGCUCAUUGAGGAACCCCCAGGUAGCAUCUGCCCGCUCUGGGAUCCAGGUUCCCUAAACCCCAGAGCCAGGACACCAAAUGCCACCUAUUACCAAACCUCUGAAAAUAGCCUGUGAGCUGGAAGAGGCCAGGCCCAGGCCACCCCGUCCCCAGGCCAAUGUCCUCUGAAGUGUGACUCACUGGAACAGCUGUGGCUGGCCUGGACCUGGGGGGGGGGGGCGCGGGGAGGGUGCUUCUGAUGCCUGCUGAGGCUGAGGAGAUGGGCUAGCCUGGGGACAGAAGCAGGGCUCUUCUUGGGUCUGGAUGGUAAGUGACACGUGAGAUCAGAGACAGGAAGGAACCUGUCCAGGUACACACAGCCCUCAGCUGGGCUGGGGCAGCAGGGUGGGUGGAGGGUCCUCUGCCUGGGGUAUACAUCUGUAAGUGCAGUAUCGGAUGGCAGUCAGUGAGGGAGGGGUGCUGGCAUCCCAGAGUCCUGUCUCUAAAUUCACUCUAAGUACAUUCCCCCUCUGAGCCCCACUUGUCACCACACUCUAGGUUCCACCCCCUCGGGGAGGCCAUGGUGGAUGUGCCCACGUCACUGAUGGCCCUCACUGGCCAGGAAGGUUCAGCCACAGCCAGGACCUCAUCACCAGUCCGACAAAGGAGAGGGCCAAGACUGGUAUGGGGCUGACAACCCCCGAACUCCUACAUAGCCCUAGAUGCCUAGUCCCCAGUACCCCUCCUUCAUACAGCCUUGUCCAGCCAAGGAUCAACACUGGGGAGUCCUCAUGGAAAUGGGGAGCUGGUAAGCAGGCCUUUCCCAUAGUUGGGCCUCUGGCAUAGUCCUUGCUGGGCCACUCCUAGUCCAUCCAUCCCUCUGAGCUGUCAACUGCACUCCCCAGUCUUCCUUACAAAAGUGACUGCGCAGUUCUGAGAAUCUGCUUGUCUACUCCCAAACUCCGAGGCAUCCUUCAAAGCUCUAAUCUCAAACCCUUUCCCAUGUGGCUGGUGAGGGGUACAGGUGCCUAGGAUAGUGACAGUGCCCCCUACAAAAGCUCAGAGCUGCUUAGCUGGCAUCUGUGGAGAGCCCUGACCUCAGCCAGGGAGGGGUUCAUUCCCUGCAUUUACUGAGCACUUACUUUCUGCCAGCCUGGCACAGCUGGUGCAAAGGCCCUGGGGCAGGAGCAGAGGGAGCAAGGGACACGGGAAGAGUAUACCCCUAGCCUAUACUCCCCUAACUCCCUGUGGAUCCUCUGCUCAGUCCUUGGUCACAGAUGAGAAAGAGAGGGUCACAAACUCAUGAUAAUCCUCCUAACUCAGAUUCUUUUUUUUUUUUUAAUGUACAUGAUGGUUCCUUAUUUAUUUAUAAGAUUUAUUUAUUACUAUACAUAAGUACACUGUAGCUGUCUUCAGAUGCACCAGAAGAGGGCGUCAGAUCUCAUUAUGGAUGGUUGUGAGCCACCAUGUGGUUGCUGGGAUUUGAACUCAGGACCUUCGGAAGAGCAAUCAGUGCUCUUAACCACUGAGCCAUCUCACCAGCCCCCGACUCAGAUUCUUAAGUACUAAAGUCACAAGUGUGUUCCACCUUGCCUGGUGGAUUGAUUGAUUGAUUGAUUUAUAGACAGGGUCUCUCUGUUUGGACCUGGCUGUCCUGGAACUCACUCUGUAGACCAGGCUGGCCUCAAACUCAAAAAUCUUCCUGCCUCUGCCCCCUGAAGGCUGGGAUCAAAGUGCCCGACUGCCUGGUGACCUUCCAAGUCAUCCCAUGCAUGUAUCUGAACUUAUCAUGCACCCAGCAGCUUCAGGAGCUACUCAGAGUUAAAAUCAGGGCAGAAGGUGAGGUUGGGGGAGGCGCCUGUGAGAGGCUCAGGAUAAGACUGAUCCUGACUAAGGAGACACCUGUGGGUGACAUCUGACCUUCACAGUGUUUGGGGGUCACCACUGUUUCCCACCCCAAGUCUGCAUCACUUAGGCAACAGGAUGAAGAAAAGCUGGGAAACGCCUAUGAGCUAAGCCAUUGGCCACAAGCAGCAGCAUUUAUUGAGCAUCAACUGUAUACCCAGCUCUGGACAAUGAGUGUGGCAUCUGUGGGUAUCUGAAGGGCACACCACCCUGGCUCCCCAGUUCUGUGUGAGGUGACAUAUCAGUGGGCAUUUACCACCAAACAUUCAUGGAACACCCACUGUGUGCCACCACCUGUGUCUGGUGGCAUUUUCUGAGCUCCUACUGCGUGCCACACCCUAUGUCCAGCAAAUAAAAAAUACCCCCCCCCAGCAAGAGCUGAGGCAGUCACUGAG
Molecule: long non-coding RNA, 3302 nt
Organism: Mus musculus (house mouse)
Lineage: Eukaryota; Metazoa; Chordata; Mammalia; Rodentia; Muridae
Product: predicted gene, 51811
Exons: 2
Source: RefSeq, a predicted model, not a curated record